RNAcentral lists this transfer RNA (70 nucleotides) under Bathygobius coalitus (whitespotted frillgoby). Its description in RNAcentral is "tRNA-Glu". It matches the Rfam family "tRNA". Rfam says of the family: Transfer RNA (tRNA) molecules are approximately 80 nucleotides in length. Their secondary structure includes four short double-helical elements and three loops (D, anti-codon, and T loops). The record is from RNAcentral. Lineage: Eukaryota; Metazoa; Chordata; Actinopteri; Gobiiformes; Gobiidae.
GUUCUUGUAGUUGAGGUAACAACGGUGGUUUUUCAAGUCAUUGGCCCCGGUUAGAGUCCGGGCAGGAAUU